This 423-nucleotide ribosomal RNA is filed under the name uncultured bacterium. Its description in RNAcentral is "bacterial SSU rRNA". It matches the Rfam family "Bacterial small subunit ribosomal RNA", at positions 28 to 429 of the family's 1533-position model. The record is from RNAcentral.
GACGAACGCUGGCGGCGUGCUUAACACAUGCAAGUCGAACGAAGAGCGAUGGAAGCUUGCUUCUAUCAAUCUUAGUGGCGAACGGGUGAGUAACGCGUAAUCAACCUGCCCUUCAGAGGGGGGCAACAGUUGGAAACGACUGCUAAUACCGCAUACGAUCUGACCUCGGCAUCGAGGAUAGAUGAAAGGUGGCCUCUAUUUAUAAGCUAUCACUGAAGGAGGGGAUUGCGUCUGAUUAGCUAGUUGGAGGGGUAACGGCCCACCAAGGCGAUGAUCAGUAGCCGGUCUGAGAGGAUGAACGGCCACAUUGGGACUGAGACACGGCCCAGACUCCUACGGGGAGGCAGCAGUGGGGAAUCUUCCGCAAUGGACGAAAGUCUGACGGAGCAACGCCGCGUGAGUGAUGACGGCCUCGGUUGUAAG